Molecule: ribosomal RNA, 1102 nt
Filed under: Streptomyces griseus
Lineage: Bacteria; Bacillati; Actinomycetota; Actinomycetes; Kitasatosporales; Streptomycetaceae
Description: bacterial SSU rRNA
Rfam family: Bacterial small subunit ribosomal RNA
Source: RNAcentral
GAUAAGGGUAGCAUUACACAUGCAGUCGAACGAUGAACCGGUUUCGGCCGGGGAUUAGUGGCGAACGGGUGAGUAACACGUGGGCAAUCUGCCCUGCACUCUGGGACAAGCCCUGGAAACGGGGUCUAAUACCGGAUAUGACCGUCUUGGGCAUCCUUGACGGUGUAAAGCUCCGGCGGUGCAGGAUGAGCCCGCGGCCUAUCAGCUUGUUGGUGAGGUAGUGGCUCACCAAGGCGACGACGGGUAGCCGGCCUGAGAGGGCGACCGGCCACACUGGGACUGAGACACGGCCCAGACUCCUACGGGAGGCAGCAGUGGGGAAUAUUGCACAAUGGGCGGAAGCCUGAUGCAGCGACGCCGCGUGAGGGACGACGGCCUUCGGGUUGUAAACCUCUUUCAGCAGGGAAGAAGCGCAAGUGACGGUACCUGCAGAAGAAGCGCCGGCUAACUACGUGCCAGCAGCCGCGGUAAUACGUAGGGCGCAAGCGUUGUCCGGAAUUAUUGGGCGUAAAGAGCUCGUAGGCGGCUUGUCGCGUCGGUUGUGAAAGCCCGGGGCUUAACCCCGGGUCUGCAGUCGAUACGGGCAGGCUAGAGUUCGGUAGGGGAGAUCGGAAUUCCUGGUGUAGCGGUGAAAUGCGCAGAUAUCAGGAGGAACACCGGUGGCGAAGGCGGAUCUCUGGGCCGAUACUGACGCUGAGGAGCGAAAGCGUGGGGAGCGAACAGGAUUAGAUACCCUGGUAGUCCACGCCGUAAACGGUGGGCACUAGGUGUGGGCAACAUUCCACGUUGUCCGUGCCGCAGCUAACGCAUUAAGUGCCCCGCCUGGGGAGUACGGCCGCAAGGCUAAAACUCAAAGAAUUGACGGGGCCCGCACAGCGGCGGAGCAUGUGGCUUAUUCGACGCAACGCGAAGAACCUUACCAAGCUUGACAUACGCCGAAAGCAUCAAAAUGGUGCCCCCCUUGUGUCGGUGGUACAGUGGGUGCAUGGCUGUCGUCGCUCGUGUCGUGGGAUGUGGGUUAGUCCGCUACGAGCCAACCUUGUCCCGCUCUUGCACCAGGCCCUUGGUGCUGGUGACUCCCUGGAAACGCGCGGUCCACUGC